GCAAGUCGAGCGGAAACGACAACAUUGAUUCUUCGGAAGAUUUGUUGGGCGUCGAGCGGCGGACGGGUGAGUAAUGCUUAGGAAUUUGCCCAGUCGAGGGGGAUAACUAUUGGAAACGAUAGCUAAUACCGCAUACGCCCUACGGGGGAAAAGAGGGGACCUUCGGGCCUUCUGCGAUUGGAUAAGCCUAAGUGAGAUUAGCUAGUUGGUGAGGUAAGAGCUCCCCAAGGCGACGAUCUCUAGCUGGUCUGAGAGGAUGAUC
This 262-nucleotide ribosomal RNA is filed under the name uncultured bacterium. RNAcentral's name for it is "partial 16S ribosomal RNA". It matches the Rfam family "Bacterial small subunit ribosomal RNA", at positions 57 to 305 of the family's 1533-position model. The record is from RNAcentral.